UACGAAGGGUGCAAGCGUUACGCGGAAUUACUGGGCGUAAAGCGUGUGUAGGUGGUUCGUUAAGUCUGAUGUGAAAGCCCCGGGCUCAACCUGGGAAUGGCAUUUGGGACUGCAAGGCUUGAGUGCGGCAGAGGAGACUGGAAUUCCUGGUGUAGCAGUGAAAUGCGUAGAUAUCAGGAGGAACACCUGCGGCGAAGGCGGGUUGCUGGGCCGACACUGACGCUGAUGCGCGAAAGCUAGGGGAGCGAACGGG
RNAcentral lists this ribosomal RNA (253 nucleotides) under uncultured bacterium. RNAcentral's name for it is "partial 16S ribosomal RNA". It matches the Rfam family "Bacterial small subunit ribosomal RNA", at positions 524 to 776 of the family's 1533-position model. The record is from RNAcentral.